This 253-nucleotide ribosomal RNA is filed under the name uncultured bacterium. Its description in RNAcentral is "partial 16S ribosomal RNA". It matches the Rfam family "Bacterial small subunit ribosomal RNA", at positions 524 to 776 of the family's 1533-position model. The record is from RNAcentral.
UACGUAGGGUCCGAGCGUUGUCCGGAAUUAUUGGGCGUAAAGCGCACGCAGGCGGUCUCUUAAGUUUCGAGUGACAGGUCAGGGAUUAACCCUGGCAGGCCUUGGAAAACUGGGGGACUUGAGGGAUUCAGAGGGACGCGGAAUUCCAGGUGGAGCGGUGAAAUGCGUAGAGAUCUGGAAGAACACCGAAGGCGAAGGCAGCGUCCUGGGAAGUCACUGACGCUCAUGUGCGAAAGCCAGGGGAGCGAACGGG